RNAcentral lists this long non-coding RNA (1003 nucleotides) under Equus caballus (horse). Its description in RNAcentral is "lncRNA (ENSECAG00000053756.1)". Lineage: Eukaryota; Metazoa; Chordata; Mammalia; Perissodactyla; Equidae. The record is from RNAcentral.
GGAACAAGUUAAGUGACACCACAGAGAAGGAAAUAGACAAAUUUAGAAGGUGAGACACUCUCUAAAACAACUGACAGUCUCUGCAUCAAGUUAGUAACAGGACAAAAAGGAGAGGGAGGAGGUGAGAAGAAGCUCUAGACUAAAGAGGUACAGCAACCAAAUGAAAGUCCCCCUGUUGAGACAUAGCAGGAGGGCCAGGGGAUUUUGUUUGUUCAGCCUCCCACUGAGCCCCACCAACACCACCCAGGCAAAAGUGGACAAUUCACUCACUCACUCUGCCCAGAUGUCAGCAGUUGCUGCCAGUUGUGGAUGUACAGCUCAUUGGACCCUGCUGACACUAUCCUGGUGAGGAAUUGAGGAAGACCUGCUUCUGCCAGACAGGGGAUGGAAGAGCAGCAACCCCCUCAACCAGUCAACACCAACCUGGGUGGAAUCAAAGUGCUGCUGUCUGUUUCCAGUUGGAAGCUUCUACAGGGUCCUGUCCAGGAUACAUGGGAGGUAACAAGGAAACCCAGGGAACCCCUUGCAGUGUUGGUCCUCAAGUCCCAAGAAAAAGAAAUGCCAGGAAGAUAUGAAUUGUUGUGGAAUAUUCCAACAUGAAAUCAAAAAUUGAUCUAAAAUCAGAAGUAUCGAAAGCAAUAUCAAUUUCCAAAAUCAAGGCACUCUGACGCAGGGAAAUCACAAUGUAGGGUUAAACAACCUGAGAACGUUCAGCCUAUGGAAGAAACGCCUUAGCAAGGCGAGAACCCUGAAAAGAGAUCAGAUUGCCUCAAGAAAUAGUGAUUUCCUGUCAAGGAAAAAAGCUGGACAGCCUCUUAUUGGGAAUGUUAUCAAGGCGGCCCUUAAGAAUUUAUGAUUCUUGGGGGCUGGCCCCGUGGCCGAGUGGUUAAGUUCGCGCGCUCCGCUGCAGGCGGCCCAGUGUUUCGUUGGUUCGAAUCCUGGGCGCGGACAUGGCACUGCUCAUCAAGCCACGCUGAGGCGGCAUCCCACAUGCCACAACUAG